This 517-nucleotide long non-coding RNA is filed under the name Homo sapiens (human). Its description in RNAcentral is "non-protein coding LINC00402:1". The record is from RNAcentral. Lineage: Eukaryota; Metazoa; Chordata; Mammalia; Primates; Hominidae.
AGCUACAAGGAUUGGUUUGGAAGGCCAAAAACCUCAGCUGACCCUAAUUGUUAUUCCGUGACAUCUUAUCUACUUAAGCAGCUAACCCAUGAGGCAUCCAAAACAGAGAGAAAAAACAGAGUGAACAUUUUGCCUUAUGGAAUUGUCAAAAGUUGCGGUCGAAACACAGGAGCAGAUGAAAUGUCAUGAUUGGUGUCCAGGCUAGUGGACUGAGUUAACUCCCGAGAGUCCCUGUACUCUCCAGCAUGGCACGAGGAGAAGCAAACCAUUUUCCUAUGCAGCCAUAGGAAAACGGUACAAACACGACACUGAAAUUCAGCUGACCGCAAGAGCUUGAUGGUCAGUGUGAGCCAGAUGGAGCAGGAACAUGUAUGGAUGGAAAACCCAGAUCCAAAGUUCAUCCCCCUCUCCCGUGGAUGCUCCAGCACAUUGCAAGGUUUCCCAGAAACUUAGAGGCAACCUUGGCACAAGGACAUGAUUUGUUGGAAAUUAAGUUUUGUCACCUGGGGGACUGCGA